UACGUAGGGCGCAAGCGUUGUCCGGAAUUAUUGGGCGUAUAGAGCUCGUAGGCGGCUUGUCACGUCGGGUGUGAAAGCCCGGGGCUUAACCCCGGGUCUGCAUUCGAUACGGGCUAGCUAGAGUGUGGUAGGGGAGAUCGGAAUUCCUGGUGUAGCGGUGAAAUGCGCAGAUAUCAGGAGGAACACCGGUGGCGAAGGCGGGUCUCUGGGCCGAUACUGACGCUGAGGAGCGAAAGCGUGGGGAGCGAACAGG
This 253-nucleotide ribosomal RNA is filed under the name uncultured bacterium. RNAcentral's name for it is "partial 16S ribosomal RNA". It matches the Rfam family "Bacterial small subunit ribosomal RNA", at positions 524 to 776 of the family's 1533-position model. The record is from RNAcentral.